Small nuclear RNA from Nycticebus coucang (slow loris), 109 nucleotides. The record is from RefSeq and is a predicted model, not a curated record. Lineage: Eukaryota; Metazoa; Chordata; Mammalia; Primates; Lorisidae.
GUACUUGCUUGGGCAGCACAUAUACUAAAACAUUGUAAUGAUACAGAGAAGAUCAGCAUGGCCUCUGUGCAAGGAUGACACGCAAAUUCAUGAAGCGUUACUUAUUUUA